Long non-coding RNA from Sander lucioperca (pikeperch), 668 nucleotides. RefSeq lists it as uncharacterized. NCBI's taxonomy places the organism in Eukaryota, Metazoa, Chordata, Actinopteri, Perciformes, Percidae. The transcript has 3 exons. The record is from RefSeq and is a predicted model, not a curated record.
AACUUGACGUUAACCUCGUUACAACUGUACCAAAAAAAAAAAAACUUUCCAUCGUACCCUUUUUUUCUGGCUAACAUUAGCCGGACUGCUAGCUAACCACCCGGCGUCGUCCCAAAUACAACGGACAGAUGUGCACAAGUUAGUUUCGCCACGUAACAAGCUAGCUAAGCGUUAUCAAUUUUACGGUUCAAAUCGUUUUGACAGCUGUGGAUGCUGAACUCACCCUCUCUGCCAGACAGGGACAUACAGAGACGGUUUAGAACAAAUAGUAGGCCUAUAAAGGAUCUUUGGGACAGGUUUCAGGACAACUGCAUGGCAACGGGACGCUUCUGAAGAAACACUGCUCUCUAAUUGGUCCGCUGUGAAGCGUGCGAAAACCCACGGAAACUCCGCGCGAGAUCCAAAGGACUGGCGCGAGAAAGACAGGAGCAUGGAGCCAACACUAUUAUUAUACACCUGAAUUAUUCCUGCCUGGCACUGUUUAAAACUAGGAGCCUCCAGCAGGAGGCAGCACUAGUACACCUCAAAUCAUACACAUGAACCACAAGAGCCUUUCAUCUUCUCUCCUCCUGUCCAUAAACACACCACCCUAUGACCAGUUCCAUACCAGUUUCACAUCAGCUACCUGCACCUGUUGAUUUGAUUGACGUUUUUACUUCUGAGAGUCA